CCGCGCCUGCGACCGCGGUCCGGCCCGACUCCGGUACCUGGUACGGCCGGGGCGG
RNAcentral lists this non-coding RNA (55 nucleotides) under Nonomuraea candida. Its description in RNAcentral is "L17-Actino-Proteobacteria ribosomal protein leader". It matches the Rfam family "L17-Actino-Proteobacteria ribosomal protein leader". The record is from RNAcentral. Lineage: Bacteria; Bacillati; Actinomycetota; Actinomycetes; Streptosporangiales; Streptosporangiaceae.